UUGAGUGAAAAGAAACUCAUUGCAACCAAUUGGCAUUAAAAUAAAUCAAUUUCAUUUUUUUUGCAAAAUUUCCCAAAAAAAACGUAAGGGGUAAGCCUUAUGAAAUUUUCGAGUUGAAAAUUUUUAAAAAUUUUUUUUUCUGAUUUUUUAUAUUUUUUUAAUUUAAAGCAUUAUUUGAGUGAAAAGAAACACAUUGCAACAAAUUCCCAUUAAAAUAUAUCACAUUUAAAAAUUUUGCUACAUUGCUCAAAAAUGAGGAAAAUUUUACAUUUUCUCAAACAGGGUAAGGAACUUGGUUCCUCGAAUAACUUCUGGCACAGACAUCUGAGGGCAUGGCCGUCCAAGAAGAAUAUGUAGCCAUUGAUGCCAUCUAUCGACCACAGGUUAAAGAUUGGCGAUCCGUUGGAUACCGACCGAGUUAUAGGCAAAACUUGGUGCAAAAAUGAGCCUUAGGAAAUUUUCAUUUUUUUGAUUUUUUUGAAUUUUUUAAUAUUUUUCAUUCUUUUUUUUAUUUAAAGCAUUAUAUGAGUGAAAAGAAACUCAUUGCAACCAAUUGGCAUUAAAAUAAAUCAAUUUCAUUUUUUUUGCAAAAUUUCCCAAAAAAAACGUAAGGGGUAAGCCUUAUGAAAUUUUCGAGUUGAAAAUUUUUUAAAAUUUUUUUUUCUGAUAUUUUAUUAUUUUUUUAAUUUAAAGCAUUAUUUGAGUGAAAAGAAACACAUUGCAACAAAUUCCCAUUAAAAUAUAUCACAUUUAAAAAUUUUGCUACAUUGCUCAAGAAUGAGGAAAAUUUUACAUUUUCUCAAACAGGGUAAGGAACUUGGUUCCUCGAAUAACUUCUGGCACAGACAUCUGAGGGCAUGGCCGUCCAAGAAGAAUAUGUAGCCAUUGAUGCCAUCUAUCGACCACAGGUUAAAGAUUGGCGAUCCGUUGGAUACCGAUCGAGUUAUAGGCAAAACUUGGUGCAAAAAUGAGGAAAAUUUUACAUUUUCUCAAACAGGGUAAGGAACUUGGUUCCUCGAAUAAAUUCCGGCACGGACACCUGAGAACAUGGCCGUCCAAGAAGAAAAUGUAGCCAUUGAUGCCAUCUAUCGAUCACAGGUUAAAGAUUGGCGAUCCGUUGGAUACCGACCGAGUUAUAGCCAAAACUUGGUGCAAAAAUGAGCCUUAGGAAAUUUUCAUUUUUUUGAUUUUUUUGAAUUUUUUAAUAUUUUUCACUCUUUUUUUUAUUUAAAGCAUUACUUGAGUGAAAAGAAACUCAUUGCAGCCAAUUGGCAUUAAAAUAAAUCAAUUUCAUUUUUUUUGCAAAAUUUCUCGAAAAAAACGUAAGGAGUAAGCCUUAUGAAAUUUUCGAGUUGAAAAUUUUUUUAAAUUUUUUUUCUGAUUUUUUAUUAUUAUGUUAAUUUAAAGCAUUAUUUGAGUGAAAAGAAACACAUUGCAACAAAUUCCCAUUAAAAUAUAUCACAUUUAAAAAUUUUGCUACAUUGCUCAAAAAUGAGGAAAAUUUUACAUUUUCUCAAACAGGGUAAGGAACUUGGUUCCUCGAAUAACUUCUGGCACAAACAUCUGAGGGCAUGGCCGUCCAAGAAGAAUAUGUAGCCAUUGAUGCCAUCUAUCGACCACAGGUUAAAGAUUGGCGAUCCGUUGGAUACCGAUCGAGUUAUAGGCAAAACUUGGUGCAAAAAUGAGGAAAAUUUUACAUUUUCUCAAACAGGGUAAGGAACUUGGUUCCUCGAAUAACUUCUGGCACAGGCAUCUGAGGGCUUGGCCGUCCAAGAAGAAAAUGUAGCCAUUGAUGCCAUCUAUCGACCAUAGGUUAAAGAUUGGCGAUCCGUUGGAUACCGAUCGAGUUAUAGGCAAAACUUGGUGCAAAAAUGAGGAAAAUUUUACAUUUUCUCAAACAGGGUAAGGAACUUGGUUCCUCGAAUAACUUCCGGCACGAACACCUGAGAACAUGGCCGUCCAAGAAGAAAAUGUAGCCAUUGAUGCCAUCUAUCGA
Molecule: long non-coding RNA, 1996 nt
Organism: Anopheles funestus (African malaria mosquito)
Lineage: Eukaryota; Metazoa; Arthropoda; Insecta; Diptera; Culicidae
Exons: 4
Source: RefSeq, a predicted model, not a curated record